AGUUUGAUCCUGGCUCAGAUUGAACGCUGGCGGCAGGCCUAACACAUGCAAGUCGAGCGGAUGAGAGGAGCUUGCUCCUGGAUUCAGCGGCGGACGGGUGAGUAAUGCCUAGGAAUUGCCUGGUAGUGGGGGACAACGUUUCGAAAGGAACGCUAAUACCGCAUACGUCCUACGGGAGAAAGCAGGGGCCUUCGGGCCUUGCGCUAUCAGAUGAGCCUAGGUCGGAUUAGCUAGUUGGUGAGGUAAUGGCUCACCAAGGCGACGAUCCGUAACUGGUCUGAGAGGAUGAUCAGUCACACUGGAACUGAGACACGGUCCGUCUCGGGAGGCAGCAGUGAUUGGACAAUGGGCGAAAGCCUGAUCCAGCCAUGCCGCGUGUGUGAAGAAGGUCUUCGGAUUGUAAAGCACUUUAAGUUGGGAGGAAGGGUUGUAGAUUAAUACUCUGCAAUUUUGACGUUACCGACAGAAUAAGCACCGGCUAACUCUGUGCCAGCAGGGAACGAGCAAUUAAUCGGAAUUACUGGGCGUAAAGCGCGCGUAGGUGGUUUGUUAAGUUGGAUGUGAAAUCCCCGGGCUCAACCUGGGAGCAAGCUAGAGUAUGGUAGAGGGUGGUGGAAUAAGGUAGAUAUAGGAAGGAACACCAGGCGAAGGCGACCACCGACAUAGCUAA
Molecule: ribosomal RNA, 670 nt
Filed under: Pseudomonas koreensis
Lineage: Bacteria; Pseudomonadati; Pseudomonadota; Gammaproteobacteria; Pseudomonadales; Pseudomonadaceae
Description: bacterial SSU rRNA
Rfam family: Bacterial small subunit ribosomal RNA
Source: RNAcentral